ACCUAGGGGCUGUGUGUGGAGCGCAUAGGAAUCGGAAGUGAAUCUCCUGUUCAGAUUCGGGUGGUACCAGAGGUCCCUAUGGACACGCAAACAUUCCACCACCCAAAACACUCUGGCCCCAAGUACAGAUUCCAGGUCUCCUAGUUUCCUGGUACAGAUGCAUCAAGACCCUUCACUCUGUGAACACGACGGGGGAACCAGCCUUUGGCAGUGGGAGACCAAGAGGAUCUUCAAAGAUUUCCUCUCUGAGCAAAAGGAGAAGAAAUCUGCCCGUACAACUUUGACACUGUAAUUCAGAAAGGGGUUGUACUCUUUGAAAUGGGUUUACAUGCACACGUAGGGACGGAUGGACACCAUGAACGUGUGAGCUGUACUCAGUCCCAUCAAUACAUCGCACAUUAAAAAUGGGUUGUGGCUU
Ictidomys tridecemlineatus (thirteen-lined ground squirrel) is the source of this 418-nucleotide non-coding RNA. Lineage: Eukaryota; Metazoa; Chordata; Mammalia; Rodentia; Sciuridae. The record is from RefSeq and is a predicted model, not a curated record.